This 497-nucleotide ribosomal RNA is filed under the name Chasmagnathus convexus. Its description in RNAcentral is "partial 12S ribosomal RNA". Lineage: Eukaryota; Metazoa; Arthropoda; Malacostraca; Decapoda; Varunidae. The record is from RNAcentral.
GGUAAAAUCAGGAUAUUGUUUUGUAUAAAAGGAAAUCUUAAUUGAAGCUAAAAAAAUUUAGUAAUAAACUAGGAUUAGAUACCCUAUUAUUCUAAAAUAAAUUAACCUAAACUAAAUUAGUAAAAGAUAAAUACUUAAAAUUUAAAAAAUUUGGCGGCAGUUUAAUCUUUUCAGAGGAACCUGUUUUAGAAUCGAUAAACCACGAAAAAUCUCACUUGCUUUUGUGUAAACAACAGUUUGUAUACCAUCAUUAUCAGAUAAUUCUUAAAGGAAAAAUUAUUAAAUUUAGUUGUUUAGUAAAAUUAGAUCAUGGUGCAGUCUAUGGGCAAGGUAAAAUGGGUUACAAUAAAUUACUUUAUUGCGGAUUAGUAAAAUAAUUUUAUUAUGAAGAUGGAUUUGAUUGUAUUUUUAGUUUAAUAAGCUAAUGAGAUAUAAGUUCUAAAUUGUGUACAUAUCGCCCGUCGCUUUCAUUUAUAAGUGAAAUAAGUCGUAACAUA